GAGGAGACAGCGCCGCAGUUGCCGCCAGCUCGGGAAUUUCUGGCUCUUUUCUCUUCGCCUUAAAUUCGGGUGUCUUUUAUGAAUAAUCAAAAGCAGCAAAAACCAACGCUAUCAGGCCAGCGUUUUAAAACCAGAAAAAGAGGUAAAUAUUUGUAAAUCUCCUUUAAGCUUUCAGACACUUCUCUUGGUUUCUCUCAGUCAGCUGCAUAUAUCACUAUCCCCUCAUGAGAAAAUUGCAGAAACUUGAGUUUCUAUUUAACUACUGUUUCAGAUGAACAGUGUUUUCUACUGCUUUCUCAAAUUUUCAUUUUUUUUUUAGUGUGGAAACUAGUGGCUAAGAUAAAAGCUGUGACUUUAAGCUCAUAGUUUUUAAGGAGAAUUUGAACAGAGAAGGCUAAAAGAGGGGAACACUGCUAAAAUCACUAAUUUCACCUAGACUUUGUGGAGGUAUGUGAAAGGGACUCAGAGUGUCUAACAUGGUCUAGGUCUUGGAAAAUGGGGGGGGGCAGAUUUUAACAGACUAACAUGCUAGGAUUAAAGGCGUGAGUUCCUGUUGGCAACCCAAUCUGGGGGUUGAAUUUAGGAUUCUGUCAGAGGCUGGCAGAGCUCUGAGUUCCAGGAUAGCCAGGACUACACAAACCCUGUCUUUAAGAAACCAACAACAAAAAAAGAAAGUUUAA
RNAcentral lists this long non-coding RNA (680 nucleotides) under Rattus norvegicus (Norway rat). RNAcentral's name for it is "long non-coding RNA NONRATT029408". Lineage: Eukaryota; Metazoa; Chordata; Mammalia; Rodentia; Muridae. The record is from RNAcentral.